AGCUCCAAUAGCGUAUAUUAAAGUUGUUGCGGUUAAAAGCUCGUAGUUGGAUUUCUGUUGAGGGACGUCGGUCCGCACUAUGUGCGUGUAUCUGACUGUGCCUCGGCAUCCUCUCGAAUAUCGGUCUGCGCUUCAUUGCGUGGGUCGGACUUCGGGACUUUUACUUUGAGGAAAUUAGAGUGUUCACGGCAGGCAAGCGCCCUGAAUAUAUUAGCAUGGAAUAAUGAUAUAGGAUCUUGGUCCUAUUUUGUUGGUUUCUAGGGCUAAGAUAAUGAUUAAUAGGGACAAUUGGGGGCAUUCGUAUUAACGCGUCAGAGGUGGAAUUCUUGGAUUGCGUUACGACGAACUACUGCGAAAGCAUUUGCCAAGGAUGUUUUCA
This 379-nucleotide ribosomal RNA is filed under the name uncultured eukaryote. RNAcentral's name for it is "SSU rRNA". It matches the Rfam family "Eukaryotic small subunit ribosomal RNA", at positions 587 to 972 of the family's 1831-position model. The record is from RNAcentral.